RNAcentral lists this ribosomal RNA (129 nucleotides) under Chinchilla lanigera (long-tailed chinchilla). The record is from RNAcentral. Lineage: Eukaryota; Metazoa; Chordata; Mammalia; Rodentia; Chinchillidae.
GUCUAUGGCCAUACCACCCUGAAUGCGCCCGACCUCAUCUGAUCUCAGAAGCUAAGCAGGGUCGGGUCUGGUUAGUACUUGGAUGGAAGAAGAGCUGAUUGGGUAUGGGAGAGACCAGCUCUGCAGAGU